Molecule: ribosomal RNA, 468 nt
Filed under: uncultured bacterium
Lineage: Bacteria
Description: partial 16S ribosomal RNA
Rfam family: Bacterial small subunit ribosomal RNA
Source: RNAcentral
GACGAACGCUGGCGGCGUGCUUAACACAUGCAAGUCGAACGGAAAGGCCCUGCUUUUGUGGGGUGCUCGAGUGGCGAACGGGUGAGUAACACGUGAGUAACCUGCCCUUGACUUUGGGAUAACUUCAGGAAACUGGGGCUAAUACCGGAUAGGAGCUCCGGCUGCAUGGUGGGGGUUGGAAAGUUUCGGCGGUUGGGGAUGGACUCGCGGCUUAUCAGCUUGUUGGUGGGGUAGUGGCUUACCAAGGCUUUGACGGGUAGCCGGCCUGAGAGGGUGACCGGCCACAUUGGGACUGAGAUACGGCCCAGACUCCUACGGGAGGCAGCAGUGGGGAAUAUUGCACAAUGGGCGGAAGCCUGAUGCAGCAACGCCGCGUGCGGGAUGACGGCCUUCGGGUUGUAGACCGCUUUCGCCUGUGACGAAGCGUGAGUGACGGUAAUGGGUAAAGAAGCACCGGCUAACUACGUG